This 587-nucleotide ribosomal RNA is filed under the name Candida tropicalis. RNAcentral's name for it is "eukaryotic LSU rRNA". It matches the Rfam family "Eukaryotic large subunit ribosomal RNA", at positions 66 to 668 of the family's 3401-position model. The record is from RNAcentral. Lineage: Eukaryota; Fungi; Ascomycota; Pichiomycetes; Serinales; Debaryomycetaceae.
CCCCCGGGUUAAUGCCUUAGUAGCGGCGAGUGAGCGGCAAAAGCUCAAAUUUGAAAUCUGGCUCUUUCAGAGUCCGAGUUGUAAUUUGAAGAAGGUAUCUUUGGGUCUGGCUCUUGUCUAUGUUUCUUGGAACAGAACGUCACAGAGGGUGAGAAUCCCGUGCGAUGAGAUGAUCCAGGCCUAUGUAAAGUUCCUUCGAAGAGUCGAGUUGUUUGGGAAUGCAGCUCUAAGUGGGUGGUAAAUUCCAUCUAAAGCUAAAUAUUGGCGAGAGACCGAUAGCGAACAAGUACAGUGAUGGAAAGAUGAAAAGAACUUUGAAAAGAGAGUGAAAAAGUACGUGAAAUUGUUGAAAGGGAAGGGCUUGAGAUCAGACUUGGUAUUUUGUAUGUUACUUCUUCGGGGGUGGCCUCUACAGUUUAUCGGGCCAGCAUCAGUUUGGGCGGUAGGAGAAUUGCGUUGGAAUGUGGCACGACUUUGGUUGUGUGUUAUAGCCUUCGUCGAUACUGCCAGCCUAGACUGAGGACUGCGGUUUAUACCUAGGAUGUUGGCAUAAUGAUCUUAAGUCGCCCGUCUUGAACCACGGACCC